RNAcentral lists this ribosomal RNA (587 nucleotides) under uncultured bacterium. RNAcentral's name for it is "partial 16S ribosomal RNA". It matches the Rfam family "Bacterial small subunit ribosomal RNA", at positions 355 to 1375 of the family's 1533-position model. The record is from RNAcentral.
UGGGGAAUUUUGGACAAUGGGCGAAAGCCUGAUCCAGCAAUGCCGCGUGUGUGAAGAAGGCCUUCGGGUUGUAAAGCACUUUUGUCCGGAAAGAAAUCCUUGGCUCUAAUACAGUCGGGGGAUGACGGUACCGGAAGAAUAAGCACCGGCUAACUACGUGCCAGCAGCCGCGGUAAUACGUAGGGUGCAAGCGUUAAUCGGAAUUACUGGGCGUAAAGCGUGCGCAGGCGGUUUGCUAAGACCGAUGUGAAAUCCCCGGGCUCAACCUGGGAACUGCAUUGGUGACUGGCAGGCUAGAGUAUGGCAGAGGGGGGUAGAAUUCCACGUGUAGCAGUGAAAUGCGUAGAGAUGUGGAGGAAUACCGAUGGCGAAGGCAGCCCCCUGGGCCAAUACUGACGCUCAUGCACGAAAGCGUGGGGGAGCAAACAGGAUUAGAUACCCUGGUAGUCCACGCCCUAAAACGAUGUCAACUAGUUGUUGGGGAUUCAUUUCCUUAGUAACGUAGCUAACGCGUGAAGUUGACCGCCUGGGGAGUACGGUCGCAAGAUUAAAACUUAAAUGAAUUGACGGGGUCAUAGCUGUUUCCU